GAUGGGGCUGCAGAACUUGACUCUUGCUGGAAGCCUCAAGUUCAUCAGAAACAGUCGUGGCCCAUGUCUUUGAGGUUUGCUUCUAAGGUUAAGGUUCCAUAGCAAGUGGAGAAACCUUCAAUUGCCUUAGUGGAGUAAGAAGGACUAAGCAAAUCUCUAGUACAGAACCUUGCUGGGCUGAGAAGGAACCUCUCCUGCAGCCAAAGAGGGAGUAAGCAGAGGUCCCAGACCUCAGACCUGCCCUCUCACACCAGACCUUCUCUUCUGAGAAAAAGAGGAACCACCUAUUGCAAAUGGGCAGCAAAGGUAGCUGAGCAGUUACAGAGGCAGCGGUGCACAACCAAGCAGUGAGAGUGGCCAUGCCAUGGUGCGUCCCCCAAACGACACUCAGCACCUCAGCAUCCCACCUCCAGAACACUGAAAUGUGGCUGUGAGCAUCUGUGCUUUAUCUUAAUUUUGUGCCUCCAUUAGCAAGAGGUGUCCUAAGACUUCAGUCCCAAAUGACAUGGUGUCCUGCACCCCUGGAAGAGAAAAAAAAUGGGAGAAUGGUUGCCAAGCAACCACGGCACCAGGAUGUCCUGAUUGCAGCGUGAUCGACUGGAAUCUGGCAAGUUUCCCAGGAUGAGAGUAGCAGGAAUAAUUAUUUUUCUGUCUUCUAAUUUCCUAUCAGGGUUGCCUUGAGUUCCAGUCUCACAUACUAAAGUCGUAAACAUUAUUUCCAAUUUCACAUCAUCUAAACCAUAAUUAUGUCCUUUGGGAUAAUUUAAAACUCUAUGCUACUGAUUUAAUCUGCUGAUGAAUUUACCCUCAAUUAUCACAGCACCCUCAGAAAGUUUUGACAUGAACCAUGACUUUUAUAAGCAAAGUGUUCCUGGUUUUAAGACAGUUUUAUUUCACCUGUGUAAAUCACAUACCUAGACAAUUAAAUUAUCUAAAUAUAGGUAGUAAUUCUGAUUUGGUUUAGUAGCGAUUUUACCAUUAUAACUGGGAAGGGACUUUAUUCAGGGAGCCAGCUGACUAAGAAGAUAACAGGCUACCAUCUCAAAAUGCCAAUCUUGUCUGGAUCUGGAUACCAGGCUCUUUUGUAGAGUGAAGAGAAAGAAGCAAUGAGGAACUAAAGUCAAAACGUAGAACAGAGAGGGAGAGGCAGUGGGAACGUGAAGUGAAAUGGUUUUCAGUCUUACAAAACAUCUCCAACUGAAUGGCCAGACUUUGGAAGGGGUUUCUUAAUCUCUUCUAUUCACAGAUGUGUAUGUGUUAGUCGCUCAGUCGUGUCCAACCCUGCGACCCCAUGGACUGUAGCCCGCCAGGCUCCUCUGUCCAUGGAAUUCUCCAGCAAGAAUAUUGGAGAGGAUUGCCAUGCCCUCCUCCAGGAGAUCUUCCCAACCCAGGGAUCAACCCAGGUCUCCCGUAUCACAGGCAGAUUCUUUUCCAUCUGAGCCACCAGGGAAGCCCAAUUCACAGAAUCAACUUUGGGGAGCAACAAGGCUGCAGGUCUUUUCCCUACGCGAGUAUCGAGAAGAGGGCGGAGGCCGUCUUGGAGUGCGUGAGAGAAGGGCCAGCCUGGAGGGGCGUCAGCACACGGAGAGGAAGUGACGCAAUGGCUUUCUUUGUUUCCCGUGAUUCCCGCUUCUUCACACCACUGGUUUCCUGCAUUUUCCUACUGGGAGGGUGCCACACUUGGUAUGACUAGGAUCUUUGACAUCAUUUGAAACACUUGAUAUUUGACUUUCCUGCCCUACAGCAAUAAAAUAUGGAGGGGAGGGGAGGAAUAUUGGGAUGAAACGGUGACAAAGUGACACACAACAGAUACAUUUGGCUCUCUAACAUUCAUGGACUGAUGCUGAAGCUGAAGCUCCAAUACUCUGGCCACUUGAUGUGAAGAACUGACUCAUUAGAAAAGACCUUCUUGCUGGGAAAGAUUGAAGGCAGGAGGAGAAGAGGACGACAGGGGAUGAGAUGGUUGGAUGGCAUCACUUACUCGAUGGACAUGAGUUUGAGAAACUCCGGGAGUUGGUGAUGGUCAGGGAAGCCUGGUGUGCUGCAGUCCAUGGGGUCACAGUCGGAAACGACUGAGUGACUGAACUGAACUGAACAGUCUUGGGUUUGCAUCAAAUGCAGUGAAGUCUCUAACUAGAGCUAAUCAAGUGGAACUAACAGAGUGUCGUUUGUGUACCAGGCUCCCUAGAUCCCAUUGACACUGCCCAUGAUCCCAGGGCCACACAUCUCCCUGGGCGGGUAGGGGUGGGGAUAGGUAGUUCCAGAUACUGAGAUCCAGCCAGCUCUGAGCUUGAGGCAACCUUACCUCUGCACCCAGCCAGCUGCUCAGAUGUGAUUGUUCUGUGCACUUGUCCUGACUUGUGAAAGGUUGAGAAGGAGUUCUCUAGGCAAUCCUUUGAAUUAAAUAUGAACAAUCCCAUUUUAUAAACUCUGACUUUGGAGGCAGGGCACUUAAAAACUGGACAUUGCCUUCUUUUCACUGCAUAGGUAUUGAACUGAUACAUAAAUGACAAGAUCCGUGAAGGAAGGAAAAUUAUUAAAGUUAAAACAAUGACAUAUAGAUUGUUUAAAGAUAUCUGGUCACAAAUUACAAUGCAUUUAAGCUAAUCUGUGUAUGAAAAAACCUCUUUAAAUCAAUAUGGAGAAGGGCAAUCACCAAGUGGGGGCUGCAGCAAUGUUUACACAGUGAUGAAAGCCACAGAGUGGAGCAUAGUGAUACCCUGCAGAUAUUGCCAUCUGGGGCAAGUUCUCUACCGUUGUAUCCAUUCCUUUAUAUAAAUGUGGGUAUUUAUAGUAUCCUGGGAGUUUUGAAUGAGAUUGUGUAGGUAAAUGCUUAGCACAACAUACACACAUAAUAAGCAUCUAAAGGUA
This is a long non-coding RNA of Bos taurus (domestic cattle), 2871 nucleotides long. The record is from Ensembl. Lineage: Eukaryota; Metazoa; Chordata; Mammalia; Artiodactyla; Bovidae.